RNAcentral lists this ribosomal RNA (497 nucleotides) under uncultured bacterium. RNAcentral describes it as "partial 16S ribosomal RNA". It matches the Rfam family "Bacterial small subunit ribosomal RNA", at positions 28 to 507 of the family's 1533-position model. The record is from RNAcentral.
GAUGAACGCUGGCGGCGUGCCUAAUACAUGCAAGUCGAGCGAACGGACGAGAAGCUUGCUUCUCUGAUGUUAGCGGCGGACGGGUGAGUAACACGUGGAUAACCUACCUAUAAGACUGGGAUAACUUCGGGAAACCGGAGCUAAUACCGGAUAAUAUUUUGAACCGCAUGGUUCAAAAGUGAAAGACGGUCUUGCUGUCACUUAUAGAUGGAUCCGCGCUGCAUUAGCUAGUUGGUAAGGUAACGGCUUACCAAGGCAACGAUGCAUAGCCGACCUGAGAGGGUGAUCGGCCACACUGGAACUGAGACACGGUCCAGACUCCUACGGGAGGCAGCAGUAGGGAAUCUUCCGCAAUGGGCGAAAGCCUGACGGAGCAACGCCGCGUGAGUGAUGAAGGUCUUCGGAUAGUAAAACUCUGUUAUUAGGGAAGAACAUAUGUGUAAGUAACUGUGCACAUCUUGACGGUACCUAAUCAGAAAGCCACGGCUAACUACGUG